RNAcentral lists this long non-coding RNA (31163 nucleotides) under Lynx pardinus (Iberian lynx). The stretch from base 8245 to 8458 matches the Rfam family "HOX antisense intergenic RNA myeloid 1 conserved region 2". Lineage: Eukaryota; Metazoa; Chordata; Mammalia; Carnivora; Felidae. The record is from RNAcentral.
GGAGGAGAAGAGAGGAGAAGGGCAACUGGAAACUCCUCUCCCCACCUACCAAAAAAAAAAAAGGCAGGAAGGGAGAGGAAAGUGUUUUAAGUUUCUAGUAAACACUAUUUAGCAAAAGAAUAAUAGGAAAGUUGCCCCUUUCCCAAAGAGGGAAGGCACUAUAAUUGUUGCCUUUAGCGGAGAGCUCAGAUAAACCGCUGGGACUCAUUCUAAAGUGACCCAUCGCUACAUUCAUCUCUUCUUGAACUUUCGGUGAACCUGAGAUUAAACAGGGGUGAGCAGCUAAGCAGUUUGUUGUUAGCAGCCUUUUCAACAACCCUUUCAGACUGAGUAAAUAUUGAUCGGUUUGAAUCUGAUUGCCCCAGAGGAAAACACCAAGGCAUCUGAAUAGCCUCCAAAAGUAAACUUUCAAAGGUGAAGCCGAGAGCAGACUUGAGAGCCAGAUCUCAACUCAGCCUAGGUUGGGGACACCCUGAAUUUCAGGAGGACUUUGAAUGAGUGUGAAGGAAGUGAGGAGAACGCAUUUGAAAACUGGAAUUUUGUCUCGCAAUUAUCCCAAGUCCUUAAUUGAGACUCUUGUCCUUUUUAAAUUUAUCAAUAAAAUGCUAUGUUCUGUGUUCCCGCUUUUGUUGUUUCAGUCACCAUUGCUGUCAUUUUUCAAGGAGCUAACCAUGCUCCUCAGAGACCAAGACAGAAAAAGAGAGACCUAGAAAUAGGAUGUGGUAAGCGCCUUUGAUUUAAUCGAUUGGGACAACUAAAAAGAUACAAAUGUUUUCCUUGUUGAAAGGUAUAUUAAUGUUUCCUAAAUGCAUUGCUUGUUAACUGAUUUAUUCCAUGACCUGGAGAAGGCUUGGGAUGUUUAGCCAUAAUUUAUCGUUCUCCUCUCUCUCAGCUACAUUAAAACCAGCACCUUCAAGAUUGGAAUCUCCAGGAUUCCAGCGGGUCGGGCCCUGCUUUUAGAUAUUGAAAUUACGGCAGUGGCAUGCAAAUGACACUUUAGCACAUUAAAGAAUUUGGAAACCAGCCAUCUGUUUUGCUGUGUGGCCUUACACUAAUAAACAAAAGAUACUGUAUAAGGCCAGGGUGGGAACUGAAAGAAAGAGUUGGCCGACUUUGAAGUUCUCCUCCAUCCACUUGAGUCUUUUAGAGGCAAGCCCAGAGCCCAGGAGCCAAGAGGGGAGGGCAGCGGGUGCCCUUGAUAUGGCCGCAGCAACCGCGCCUGCAAAGUCCAGGCUUGCCCCUUUGACGGGGAAGUACAGGAAAUCUCAUGGGUGCUCUAGGAGGCCUGCAAAUUCCAAGUUUUGUAGGAUUUCUCCUCCCACCCUCAGCCCAUCCUCUGUAAAACACUCUUUGGAGAGGAAGGAAGUCAGAUGCCUGUAUUUGUGAUGCUGUAAAAUUUCUGCUCUACUCUCGGGGCUAAAUGAAAGCUUCUGAAAAUGUGUGAAAGUGAAGGAAAAGUGGUAAGAGGUCUAGGAGGAGAGCCUUUGAUUUGCUGGCUUCCUCUAUUUGAGAGCAGACACCUGCCUCAGUUUGGAAGCAACUUGAAUAUCGGAAGACUUCAUAGAGGCUUCCGCAAGUUCAACUGAAAGAAACUGCUGAGCCCAGAGAAGAAAAUAACAACUUUUUUUUUUUCUGAGUUAUGGGAUUAGAACUAGGUUAUGGAUUUAGAAUUAGAACAGACCCAUUACAGCCACGAUGGCUAUGAAAUCGAAGCUGAAUCUAAUGGGGAUGAGAUGUGUAACCCAGAGGGAGUGGGCAGGAGGACAUGUAGAGAGUGGCAGGNNNNNNNNNNNNNNNNNNNNNNNNNNNNNNNNNNNNNNNNNNNNNNNNNNNNNNNNNNNNNNNNNNNNNNNNNNNNNNNNNNNNNNNNNAAACACAAAAAAAAAAAAAAAAAAAAAAAAAAAAAAAAGAAGAAAGAGGGGUGAGAUGGAGGCCUCACCCUCAAACAGCUUUAUACUGGAGCUAAUUAAAUGUGAAUCUCUUAGCUCUUGGUUCACUGAUGUGAGGAAAGACUGACUGAAGAGUUUGGGCUUUGGAAGGGGGUACUGUUUAUAUAUACGUCAACAUUCAGUUGGAGGUGAAAAGGUUAGCACUUGACCCAGGAAGUAUCCGUGUUUGUUUCAAAAAUAGAUCUGCUUCAUAAAUUUCUUCACCAUUCAUUUUUUCCAGUAUGAACUUGGAUUAUAAUAAAGGAACUGUUGUUAUUUUAAAGAAAAUCAACCUAGUAAGUAGGUAUUAGCUAGGUGCAAUGACACUCAUAGGGGAACUUUCAGCUACAUAAUGAAAAGCAUUUGCUUUUUUUUUUUUUCCAAGAAAAGGCCCACCUCUGAAAAUGCACAGCACCCUUCUCCCCUUCCCCACAUGAAAUGAGCCAACGCUGUUGGAACCAGUAAAUUGUAGCCAAGCCAAAUUCAGGGCCGCGUAAGCAUAUGUGAAACUUGAAUAUAUUUAUUACAGACAUCUUAAGACCCGUAAACUCUGCUCUAGAUCACAUCACUCCAGGAUCUCAGAGCUGUUCAUGAUUGUACAGGAAAUGGGGAAUAUCAUAGGCUCACAAGGAAUAACUGAUAUAACUCAGUGUGGUACUUCAGGGACAUCAAAACAUUGUGCGACAUGCAAAAGACUAUUCACGAAUCACACAAAAUAUACAUUCAUUGUGCCAUCCAUCACAUUAACAAUUGAGCUGAAAAUACAUCAUAUCCAGCUAAGAUAACUGUGGAAGGAAGAAGCUGGUUCGAAUAAUACCUUUAGGUUCUAAAUAAUCCAGCACAAAUUUAAAAAAGAGUGUGCCCAGAGAAACACUAAAUGGGUGGUGAUAGGGGGAGACCCAGCACAGGAAGCAAGGUUUUUGAACCUCGUAUUCCGCAGGCCUUCUUAACUCACUUGAAAGAACACAUGCAGGCUACCCUCUGAGGCAUCUGAUUGAGUUUAAGUGAGCGAUUUUAUUCUUUAACCCAUAACAUAUAAAAUUGUACCAGCUUUGAGAGUUGCCUACCCUGUUUUAGUCACUUAAUCUAAACAUUUCUAGAAAAUCUGUAUAAAGAUAAAUCUCUCAGGACAAAGUAUUUACAACCAGCAAACUCACACACAUGAAACUGAAUUAAAUUAAGGGAUGAAUUAAUUGUGUAAACAAGCUCAUAGUGCCUCUCUUCCUCAUGAGCUCCUGGACUCUCCUCUCUCUCUAUCCUACUUUAAGGGCAAAGUAGGGGAGAACUGUAAAUAUACAGAUAGGUAAAAGAUAGGCCUCCCUCUAACAUGUUUCUGCUGGCAAAGGAGACUAUAUUCCAAAGGACAUCUGAAAGGAACAGACUGUGGAAAUCUCCAAAGUAGGGAGGAGUGUUGGGGACCAUCAGAAAAUUGAUUAUGGCACCCAAUCUGCAUCAAGGAGUUAGCACACACACACACACACACGCACACACACACACCCACACACACACACACACACACACACACACACACCCCAAUCAAGCCUCUACUCCAGGACUCUCUGGAAACACAUUGUCCUGGCCAGGAGCUCCCCAGAUAGGAUCAGAAAGGAAGAGAGAGACUGUAAAUGGAAAGGAAGAUAAGCUAAGAAUGUGCUUUGCGUAAGGAGUCCCCAGCCUGCGGAAUAGCCUGGGCUGCGGAGUCUGGGGCUUGGUUGGCCUCAGUGAGAGGUAGUCAGAGUGUCUGAGGUAGAGGACCCCGGGGAAGGAAUGCAGGGCGAGGAGCUGGACUUCUCUGAAGAUUCUUCGGCCUUCUCCUCACUUCCUGGCGGGGUGGCAGGAGAGAUGGGCAAGAGACCCUCCUUCUCUCGUUUCUUCUGCUUCAUCCGGCGGUUCUGGAACCAGAUCUUCACCUGGGUCUCAUUGAGCUGUAGGGACGCGGCAAUCUCCACCCUGCGGGCACGCGUCAGGUACUUAUUGAAGUGGAACUCCUUUUCCAGCUCAGUGAGCUGCUUCGUGGUGAAGUUGGUGCGCACUGCAUUGGGUUGACCCACGUAGCCAUACUCUCCAACUUUCCCUGGGGGCAUGGUGGGGAGCGAUGAGAGAACAAGGUAAGACUUUUUACAAUCGAUAUGAGAUCCCCUACAAGCUUCAGAUAAAGGGGAGAUCAAGAAUUUCUCAACAGAAACUCAGCUGGGAAUGGUGACUGAUGAGGUGUAAAGUGUUAAUCUGAAGUCAACCAUUAGCAAGGUCAGACCAGUGAUGAAUGGAGCCUGGAGAUAUUAACAGAACCACCCCCACCCCCACACAUCCCUACCCACUUCCUAUUCCAGAACCUCUAAAACUCAGCCCCUUUGGAAACACGACAGCCCCAGAUGUGCCUUUGCCCCAACACACCUGGGCAAUCUGUCCACACCGGACACCAGUGGGAAGCAAGAACUUUUUUUUAAAAAAAAAAAGUAUUAAUUUUCCUUGGCAACUAAACAUACUAGCUCCUUCCAGAACCAUCAAGGAGCAUCCAAGGAAUGGCAAGACUGACCUGUUUUGGGAGGGUUUCUUUUGACUUUCAUCCAGUCAAAGGUCUGUGCUGGAGAAGAUGUCUCUGAUGUAGGGGAGCGACAGGCUUCUUGGUGGCUGGCGUGGAGAGGGGACAAGGAGUUAUUAUACGUGGCCAGGGCCAGGCUCUGGUGCUCUUGUCCAUAUGAGUGGUGAAUGUACUGAGGCGAGCCCACCGCGCCCCCGGCAUAACCCUGGUGGUGGUGGUGAUGCUGGACCAUGGGAGAUGAGAGAUUUCCAGAGUAAACAGCGGGAGCGCACGAGGGGUACCCACCACUUACUUCUGCUUCCUGAUUUAACGCGUAGGGGCUGUAAGGCGCGCCGAAGUUCUGCGCGCCAUAGCUUGGACCACAACUCGAAUGGGAGUAGGACACCCCCAGGUUCCCGGGAGUCUGGUAGGUGGCCGGUUGGGGGUGAUGGUGGUGGUGGUGGUGGUGGUGGUGGGGCGGGCUGAUCUGCACCCCCCUGCCCACUAGGAAGCGGUCGUCGCCGCCACAGCUGUUAGCACUGACCGCGCACGACUGGAAAGUUGUAAUUCCAUGGUCGGAAGGGUAGGCUCGCGCUGAGCAGGUCCCCGAGUCGCCACCGCUGAGGAUGGGGUAUUCCAGGAAGGAGCUCAUUCUUGCAUUGUCCAUCUGUCACUGAGGGACCGGGUCCUGCGAAGCCCUGGGUGACCGUGCCAACUUUCUCACUUCCUCCAUGGGGCCAGAGAAGAAAAAUGAUAUGAAUGUANNNNNNNNNNNNNNNNNNNNNNNNNNNNNNNNNNNNNNNNNNNNNNNNNNNNNNNNNNNNNNNNNNNNNNNNNNNNNNNNNNNNNNNNNNNNNNNNNNNNNNNNNNNNNNNNNNNNNNNNNNNNNNNNNNNNNNNNNNNNNNNNNNNNNNNNNNNNNNNNNNNNNNNNNNNNNNNNNNNNNNNNNNNNNNNNNNNNNNNNNNNNNNNNNNNNNNNNNNNNNNNNNNNNNNNNNNNNNNNNNNNNNNNNNNNNNNNNNNNNNNNNNNNNNNNNNNNNNNNNNNNNNNNNNNNNNNNNNNNNNNNNNNNNNNNNNNNNNNNNNNNNNNNNNNNNNNNNNNNNNNNNNNNNNNNNNNNNNNNNNNNNNNNNNNNNNNNNNNNNNNNNNNNNNNNNNNNNNNNNNNNNNNNNNNNNNNNNNNNNNNNNNNNNNNNNNNNNNNNNNNNNNNNNNNNNNNNNNNNNNNNNNNNNNNNNNNNNNNNNNNNNNNNNNNNNNNNNNNNNNNNNNNNNNNNNNNNNNNNNNNNNNNNNNNNNNNNNNNNNNNNNNNNNNNNNNNNNNNNNNNNNNNNNNNNNNNNNNNNNNNNNNNNNNNNNNNNNNNNNNNNNNNNNNNNNNNNNNNNNNNNNNNNNNNNNNNNNNNNNNNNNNNNNNNNNNNNNNNNNNNNNNNNNNNNNNNNNNNNNNNNNNNNNNNNNNNNNNNNNNNNNNNNNNNNNNNNNNNNNNNNNNNNNNNNNNNNNNNNNNNNNNNNNNNNNNNNNNNNNNNNNNNNNNNNNAAAGGAGAGGGAAGUGCGCAGAGGGUUGGCUGGGAGGAACCCGGCUGGGCGUGGAGGGGACGUGAGCAAGAAAAAAACAAAAAAACACAAAAACCAAAAAAGCCUUCCCUUCCCCAAGGAGGGUCUCUGAACCCUAUUCCCCCACCGCAACUGAUUAUUAACGAGGCAAUGAGGAGCUUUUGUAAUUCGACGCCCGGGAGCGGGUGAUUGGUAGUAGUUAAGGUUGCCGGAAAAGGCCGAGGGUGGCCGGCUCUUCGCCCUCCCUCUUUCCUCGCUCUCCGCCCCUUUCUCCUCCCCACUCAGCUUUGCUCCGGGAGCCCUAUGGGAUCCGGAGCAGCUCGGCCGCUGGAUUUUGAAGGGUAGGAGGCGGGGGAGAAAGAUGACGCUAGCGGACGUGGCCAGCGUGGGGGCCGGGCGGUGCGCUGCAGGCCAUCUGCCGGCUCCCCGGGACCCAGGAGUCUGCGCGCUUCAGCGGGGGCCUCAAAGGGCGAGACCACAGCUCCAACUAAAUACGCUGAACUCCCCCCACCACGCCCCAACAGUGGUGCUUGUUUUCUGGAGGGGGGAUGUUAGGAGUGGUAGGGCUUCCUUUAUCCACUAACCGCCCCCCCCAUUCUACUGCAUGUCUGAAGUGGGGGGUUAGGGGCUGGCAGGUGGGAGGGGCGGUGGACAGAUGGCUGAUGGUGGACGGGACAUUUUCUUCUUCCCCCAACAACACCUCCUCCCCUUUGUAUCUAUGUAGUUCCUUGUGUGAACGUUCAAGUCUUUCUCUAGAGAGACACGUGCAAAUCUGAGCGUCAUCCCAGGCCAGGGGUCCUGUUCUCCAUCACCCUCAUCCUACCCUGAUGCUGACGGGGUCGUUAAUUGCUGUUUACUAUUAGGUUUCGUGUCAACCCUUGGCUUGUAGAGAGAAAAUGCCAAACUGAGACCGAGAAUUGAUGCAUUCUUAGGUAAAAGAAAUCCAGAGAUCAUCCAAGAAGCUUUGCAGCCAAUGCAGUAUAGAUUUUUCUCUGACCCUGCUUAUCACAUCGGAAUGGGACAGAUAAAAUUUAUCUGAGGACGGGGUUCCCACUCCCCUCUAGUUUUCCCUCCCCAGUUAGAAGAAGGAAGUUUUCUUUGAAGCAGGCACAUCAUAAAUGUGUUAGCCAACCUUUCAGGUUUCUGCAUUCUGUUCUUCACAUACAGAAGUUCCCCCACCAAACCUGCCCCCACAAGAGGGGGAACUCUUGCAGACAUUUGACUAUGGAUUCCCCCAGUAGCAAAGACAAUUUUUCCCUAAACAUUUACUUUUGAAAUAGUAUUUUUCUGUGACCUUUGACCCAUCCCCAACCACGGUUAAGAGCGAGCCCAGCCAGGAAAGGUCACUCCUACCCCAAUUUCAGCACCUGGGGACACUCAUUUUCGAGAAGGGAAAAGGAAAGGAGGCCCUCCUGGAGGCGGCUUCCUUGGGAGUGCCAGGCCUCCUGAGAUGGGGAGGGACGCGGCUCCUGUCGGGGAGGCGGUAGGACGUGAGAGUGUCGGUGCUGGCACUGCGGACGAUCUGCUUUCCGAACCAAAGUACGUUCUUUCUCCUUGCCUCAUUCCUGUCCCUUUGUUGGCUUCUUCGGCCCGGGUUUGCGCAACCCCCUCGGCUGCAGGGCUUAGCGCCACAAAGCCGCCCGGGACCGCAACCGUUCUCCUGCCUCUGCUAGUUCUCGGCCUCUGUGCUGCUCUCCUUCCACUUCUCUUCCUCCCUCCGGGCGUCUUUCAGAGCCAGCAUGGGUGGGGGUGUUUUUCUUGGGACCGCUUUCAUGCACUUGCACAGAGGCCCGCAAUCUCUCCGGCAGGCGACAGACCUGCCUCCGCGCGCUGCUCCCGGCUCCCGGAAGGCCGGACUCCCGCAGCAGAGCCUGCUCCGCCCCGGCUGGCCGCCCAGAGCGCUGCUCUCCCGGUGUUACUUACAAAGGCGGUCUCCUCUGGCCUCGAGCCCGCAAGGCUUCCGUAGCUCGGUUCUUCCCCCACCCCCCACGAAAUCCUGGGGCUCGUCCCGCCUUGUAGGAGACUCUUGGUUCUCCAGGCUUGUAGGCCAGCGCCCCACGACUGGAGCUAAAGUCUCUUUAAAUGCUCUGGGAGAGUGGGUGAAAGGAGACCUUGGUCACUGUUUAAAUGAUGGCCUGCAAGCGGCUUGCUGGGCUCAAAGCACCUCUUUCAGGGCUCUUCUACUAGAAAGGGAAGGAGCGAGGAGGAGACAAACGCCGCCGAGGCCCCGAGCUGCUCAUGGCAUCCGCGGCUCAGCCAAGCUGUUGUUUUAAAAGAGCAAUAAAAAUGAAUUAUGACUAAACGCCUUCUAACUUAAUGCUUUCGGACGGGGAUCCCCGGCAAAUACGUAAGAGGAUUUUUAUUUGUGCAUGUGUUCCUGCAAUUGAUCUCUUUGAUGACAUUCUCAUUCAUAGAAAGCGUUUGAUUUAUGAGCGUAGGACGAAUCGCAAACAGCAGCGGCUCAGCCCCGGCUGCGGCCGGGCUGCCCUGCUCAGCUCCGCGCCUGGGGCUGGAGACCCGCCGGGGUCCUCACACGCCUCCGCCGCUGCCAGGAUGUAGGGGGCAAAAGGGUGAAGGAAGAUAGGGUGCAAACCCAUGGAGAAAGAGCGCGAUUUCAUUGUAACUUCCAAGCCUUAACUAUUAAGAGCCGGGUUCCUGAAUCAACCCGCCCCCCACACAUGUUGCUUACACACUGCGUUUUCUCACGGUAAGUAGCCAUCACAACAGAGCUCAGUAAGGAAAAAAUCAGCAUGGGGAGAUAUAAGAAGGGAGGGGGGGGGGAGCAAGACAGCCCAGGAACGUGCCCUAGAUUACAUUUUAUUGAUAUUUCAUUUAAAGUGCUUUUUCUCUUUCUCUCUCUAGAAACUGGGUUAAUUUAUAACCUAGGGCGCAGAAACUCUCCAUUUUAAAUCUCAACUUGGUAACCUGGCUUCAAAGCUUUAAUGAUCCAUUAUUUGCCAUGUAAACAGAUUUAAGAAUGAAAUAUUGAUUUUUCUGACCCUGAAAAAAAGAAUCCUAGAAUGACUGGACCAGAGGAUUGGAAAGAACGCUUUCUGAAGUGCAUUUUCCAGCUAGUAACCAUGUUUUGUUUUAUUUUUGUUUUCUCUACCUUUUAGGUCUGUUUGCCUGGACCCAUCAACAUCUGGGAGACUAAUCAACCACACUGAAAAUGUUUCCGGGGGAUUGUGGGGGAGGGGGUUGGAAUGUAGAUGUUUGAAACAAAUGUGUAUAAAUAAAUGAAUUGUUGAUAACUUAGUUAUUGACCUGGAGACUGGUAGCUUGUUAAAGAAACUCCAUGUUCCUUCUUCCUGGAGUUGGGCGGUUUCUGUAGGCACUUUUAUUUCUCCACUUUCAAAAGCUUGGGCUUGGCCCAACUGUGAGGCUGCCCAAUCCUGUUUCUAUUACCAAUUUAAAUCUAUGGCUUGAACCUCUACACUGAAAAACCAAAUCCAUUCCCUUUAAAAAGAGAGGAAAAAAAAAAAACAUUUCUCAGAAGUCCUAUGUUCUGGCUUUCUUUUUUGUUAUUGACUACUGAAGACUUUGAACAUGCCCCCUUAAUAAAUAUAUUAAAAUUGAAAAAGAAGAUGAAUUGUGACCAGAAUUUUAUUUACCAAGUUAGACUAAAAGAAGAAAAAGAAACCGUUAUGAGCCUUGAGAAAGAGGGGGGAGAAAAAAUAAGAAAGCUACUUAUAGCAAAGGAGAAUUUAUUCUACCAAAAAUACUCAUGACAAUGCAUCCUAAUGUAAUACAAAAAUAAAAAGAAAGUGAAGAUACAAUUAUAUGAUCACUUUCUUGCAGGCCUCAUAUAUUGCUUUCAGGAAAUCACAUAGAGGGGUGUUGGAUUAGAUUUAGAACAACUAAAACUCCAAAAUAACCUGUAAAAGAUGGCUCUGAAACUGGACCAGGAGAAUCACUAAACAGAAAAUCUUCCACAUAUAGAGGAGAGAGAGGGUAGGUCAGGAAGAAAAGAAAAUAAAAAUCAACUCUCAGAAUAAAAGAAGGCAAAAGCACCUGGUCAAAGGGGUUUUUGUUUUGUGAUGCUUUGUUUUGCUUUAAUGUUUUUAGUAAUUCAGAUGCUGCAAGUCGAUUGUGGUGAGUGUGUCUGUAAAAAAGUCAAAGCUGUCAGCUGAAAUAUCUACGGGACUGUCGAGGGAACCUGGCAAACUGGGCGAGACUGCAUCUGAAAGCUGCAGGCAGGAAUCUGUGGAAAAAACGUUAAAGUCCUGCAAAGAGGGGACCUCGAGGGCCUCGGGACUGUCAUUGUUUAGGCCUGAGCCACAGUUCUGGCCCAUUGUUGACAAGCAGUUAGAAACAGUGGGUGACUGGUGCUGAAAAUGUUUCAGAUUUUUCUCAUUGCUGGUUAAAGGCGAAACUGGGAAACUUUGGGAGUCGCCAUUGUGUCCAUUGGGAGCCUGCUGCUGAGAGAGGGCAUUUUGCUGAAAAGUGUAACCUUCCCUCUCCAGAAGGGCCCCGGAGACGCUCAGGGCUUGCUCAAAGAGCGACUUCUCUUCCUCGUCCUCCUCCACUUUCUCAGAGUCCUCGAGGCUUUUAAAUUUCCCCUCGCUGUUGUGGUUCUCCUUGCACUGGGUCUGCCUCUUGUGCUUCAUCCUCCGGUUCUGAAACCACACUUUCACUUGUCUCUCAGUCAGAUCCAGCAGCGCUGCGAUUUCCACCCUUCGGGGUCUGCAAAGGUACUUGUUGAAAUGAAAUUCUUUCUCCAGCUCUAAAAGCUGCGUGUUGGUGUAAGCAGUUCUCAGGCGUCGGGAGCCCCCGCCGCUGCCAUCGGCGAUUUCCAGGGAUUCUGCGGAAAGGGAAACCAACAAGAGACACGCGCACAGUUGGAGGUGGAGGGGUCCGAGCGGGGUUAUUCCACUGGAGAAUAAAUAUAGCAGAAAAGAUCAACUGCAACAAAAUGGCCGCCCCUGGAUGCAGUGGAGCUAUUGUGCUGCCUUUCCUGGGAGCCCAGCCCGGGGAGACCCCAUCUCUUUCCACCUCCACCAGAUUCCUGCCUGUGGCUCCCCCCAACCUCUCCAUCCGGGAGCAAACUUUAUAUUAGCCACACCACAAUUUAUAAUUAAUGCAUCAGCUGCUUAGCUGAGCAAGAGCGAUCUAUCACUCUUCAUUACUGUCAAAAAGCCAAACUCUAGGACAACUAGACAAGAGGAGGUCAGUUCCAACUCAAAUAAAUCAUCCCACAUUACACAAGUUAGGGAAAGUUUCCCCCCCCCCUUCUUAAAAAUAUAUAUAUGUCUCAUUGUGCAGCGCAGGAUCCCUUUUCUCUCCAUCACACCCACUCCUGAGCCCACAGGGGAAGGGAAGGCAGCCAAGCAUCUCUCCCUCUCUCCCCCUUCUCUCCCAGCCCACGCUCCCCUCCCCCAUAACCGCUCCCCGGGCAGCCCCGAAGGAGCAGAGGGUCCCGGGACCUGGGGCCAAGUCUUUGGACUGACCUUUGUGGCUGAGGCAGGCAGGGCCGGUGGCGGCGGCGGCGGCGGCGGCGGCCGAGGCGGGCGGCAGCGCGGUUUUCUUGGCCGCCUUCUUCUCCUUCAUCCAGGGGUAUUCGGGCGGCUGCAGGGCGCCGGCGGGCACUGGGCUGCCGCGGCUGCCCGCGGGGCUCGGCUUGGGGCGGCCGCCAGCGCCGUGGCGAGGGUGACUGCCCGGGUUCAGGCUGGGAAUGGUCUGCUCAAAAGGAGGAGGAAUCAGUGUCGAGUGUGAAAGCGUCGAGGUCUUGAUUGAUGAACUUUGAAAUGUAUCAGCGACAGGGGGAAAAGAUGUCAGGCACUCAGCGAGCGACGGCUGGCUAUUGAUAAAACCAAUCUCUCGCUCAAAUUCGUAAUUCAUGGCCUUCUCCUUGGAGCCCCCUCGGAGAAAAAGUUCCCUCUUCUGGAGGGGCUUUGGGGGGGCAAGGCCCGGGAAAAAGGCGAGAGCAGAGGAAAAAAAAAAUCUAUCAUAGAAGAUCGCUGCUGGGGUGUUUUUUUUCUAAUUCACUGAUUACAGCCGUAUGGGGACCGCGCUACUAUUAAACUAUUGAAUUCAUGGAGACAAGGUUGAAAUUGGACCGAAUUGGCUGUCACAUGAUUGCUUCUGCCCAAUGACAAUUUGGGCUUUAAUCAAAAGAAGCCACUGUCUGUUUGAUUGAUCCAAAAAAGUCGGGAAGGAACGCCUCAUUGGGGGCCAGCGAGGCUUUAUUUACACUUUUUUCAGGGCAAAAAUACAUAUAUGUGGGUGUGGGUGGGGAUGCCCGGGAGUGCGUGGGGGCGAGGGUGCCUGCCUGCCUCCUGAUCAGCACAGAACCUGUGUGUGCGCUUGGGAGUGUGUGUGAGUGUGUGAGUGUGUGCGAGUGUGAGCCCUGCUGCCGGGCCCGCCGGCGGCUGCCCUCUAACUCCCCCGCACACUCCGCGCAUUGUUUGGGACUGUCGGGAAGACGCCUCGCACCUCACAAAUCAUCUAAGCACCUCAGUCUGACGCCUGCAGUCAUUAACAAAGUAAUCCAUUAAUCUUCAAAGUUUUGACACCCGAGAGCCCCGCAUCCCAGCCACAUAAGUUCUGCUAAGGCAGGAGGAAGGAGCAGAGGGAGAGGGGAGAUGAGACUGGGAGAAGAAAGAGAGAGGGAAGGAGGGAGGGAGGGAGAGAGACAGACAGAGACAGACAGACAGAGAGAGAAGACACAGAAAAGAGAGGAUUCAUUUUGGGGUCUCCCCUCUUUUAUUUCCAUUUUCCUCUGCCUUUUCUAAAACCAGUUACUGGAUCUCAGAAGUGAUUCCUGUUUUCCUUCCUCUCUUUCCUUCCCUCUUUUCCUCUUCCCCCCUGUCCCCUUCCCGCUCUCCUCUGUCCACCUCUCUUUCCCCAAACCCCUCCCGCAUGCCCUCGCCCCCCUCCCAAAGCCCAGCUCGGAGUCUGCGCCCCCCCCCUCGCCGGACCCGGACCCCGGCCCAUUGUUAGCCGGCUUUUCCAAGGCAGCUAUGCAUCUGGCUCCAGAGGGAAGCGGAAGACGGGGAGGCGGCUCUCGAAGCUUCCCAACCUUCCGGUGCCAUCAACUUUUCAGGAGUGGCUCGAGAAAGAUAGAUGCAUGUGCCAAGCAAGACAACAACCCCAGGUUCAUGUGUCCAAAUCUCUGUAGCCAGGGCGGCGACCAACCAAAGCAAUGCCACCCGGAGCAGGCUCCUGCGGCUCCUGGCAUUCUGGGUUUCAUACCCGUAGGGCUCGGGUGCGGUGAGUAUUUCUGAUUUCCAGGAAGUCUGUUGGAAGUUAGCAGCAGGGAAGGAGAAGACGCUUAUUCCUCUCUCUCUUUCUCUUUCUUUCUCUUUCCCUCUCCUUCUUCUCCUGGUCCUUGUCGCUCUGAUUGGGGGCUUGUUGGUUCAGAUGCAAUUCGUGUUCCCUGGCAGCCCAAAUUGUCUCCCGCACCUUUCCGCUCCUUGGCCACCAGGGAUGUUUGCACUCAGGUUCUGUUGUGGGAAACAGCAUCGCAGGUGAGAGAGGGCAACCUCAGGAGGAAUUAUAAAUGUUCUCUUUUCUCUGCUCACUCUCUCUUUUUUCCAAUUCGGAGACUUGAGACUGAGGGCAUCGUGGACCGUGCUGGAGGGUUCAAAAGAUAACACCUUUAGGUACCAAACAAUAACUUUUUAAAAAUCCACCAAGCCAGAAAGAGGGGAGGAGGCUGAGAGAGAAAUCUGAAGGUAUCUCUUUUCCCUCAAACCCUGAGGAUGAUGAUUCGCUUUUGCUUCCUUUGAAAUGGACCAAGUGAUCAGACUCCCCCAGGCCGGCAGGCAUCCGUGGCAGGAAAAUAAAUCAUUCUGAUGGCCAGGGAGAGAGAGGUUGGUGGGGGAGAAAAAUCUACGUAGAAAACAAGAAAGGCCGACCGCAGCACAAGGCUAGGACUCCUUCUCUAAGGCCGGCAUCAAAGGGGGCUUGGGUUGGAAAUUACAUAUAAAGUGGCCUCCAUCAUUGACUGGCCCACAGCAUUGCCUUACAGAUAGAGAUGCUAUUUUGGAAAAUGUGAGGUUUUUCAGUUUUCUUGCUUUUAUUCCAAACAAAGCUCUGAAGGAAGUCUGGGCGCGAUCAAUCUUGCUCACCAAAAGCCUUGACAGCUUCUGGCCCUUAAGAACACAUUUCAGCUUCGAGCUCUUUCCAAGAUCAAAUGUGGCCGAGCAAAGAGGAGAGCAGGAAACGCAAGUAAACAAGGAAAACUAGUCUUUUAAAAUAUAUCUUUCUGGCAGCAGAAAGAGUUAUAAGGCUGCUUUUAGGAAAGGUGCUUUGCAGAUUCUGGGAUAGCGGCUUUUGCCAUUUGCUUUUACCAGAAAUAAUAUUGAGGGGUUAAGGGGAGGGGGAGCUACGGAGAGAGAGCAGCGCUGCCCCCAUAUCGCUGAGGCUUUGUCAGGGGCUGCGUGGGUGAGAGCUUUCUGCUCGCCUCAGCGGCCUUAAUUCAAACACCAUCUGGAAGCAAACCCUUUUCUUUGACCAUUCAACACUGAAAUCUUCCCCAAAUCUAUUGCUUUAACCCAGGAAUCUUUUAAUAAGGACUUAUUUUUAAUAUCUUGGAAGCUGGAGGUGAGAUCAAUAUUUUUUCUUUGAAACCCAAAACGAAUGUUUUGAUUGCCAAGAUAUGGGAAAUCAUGUUGGAAUUUCAUUUAAAAAUCUGUGUCCUGAGGGAGGAAGGAUGCCUCCAAACCAGUUGCCUCUCAGCUAAAUAGCAGAUUUUGGAAACGGGUUCAAAUAGUGAUAUCCCUGAAAGAUUUCCCUCUCUGAAUGGAUAGAGCUCCCUGGCUCUCUCUCUCUCUCUCUCUGUCUCUCUCUCUUUCUCCACUGUUCCUUAUUUUACUAGGUAAUUUUAUACACUUCUCUAAAAUUAUUACUCAUAAGACUUCCGUGUUGCUUAGCCUGCUCAGUUCAGAUCUGAACAACUAAAAGAGCAGACGCUCCAGUCCUCACAAAGACUGGUUUUCCAGACUCUGCAUUUCUGAGGUGCGCCAUAUUUCGGCAGGGAGGUUGGGGUGGGGUGGGGAGUAGAUCUACUCCUUCUGUAACCCAAACUCUUUCAAAAAUGAAAAAAAAAUAUGUGUAUCAGGAGCCCCUGAACAGAUAGGGGAGAAGCAUCUCUGGCUGUGAGAGAAAAACUCAGAUCUCUACAGCUACCUGGCUUUAUACCUUCAGAGCCUUUUUCUUUUUCUUAAAAUGUGAAAAGGUCCCCUAAAAGCAGCUCCUGUGGACCCAGGAGAUACCCAAAAAUGGCUCCAGUGCCCGUUUCUAAAGAUCAGCUGAGGGAGCUUCUCAGGGGAAAGAUAGUGGCCAUGAUGAUGGAUAUUUUGGAUUGCAAACAAAAUGGCGACAUUUUUCACCUCCGUCUCUGAAAGAUACAAUCCAGGGAGAAGGAGGAUUUAUUUCUCACAUCAGAUGCUUCUGAUCCCCAGACGCAGGUGGUUCCUUGCUUCCAAUUUAGAAAGGGGAUGUUGAUGGGGAUACAGUUCUGAGGCUUACACUUUCUGAAUUUGGUUCCUUCUCCAAGCAGUUCUUUAAUCUGAAGAUGAAAAUAUUUCCCUUUCCUGUGCCUGCUUUUGCCUCUGCCAGCAAAGUAGUAGUAAAUCCAGGAGUAGAAAUGUAACAUUUAGCUCCUGUAGCAUCAUGAGAAAGAAAUACUUAUAAAAUUGCAUUUUUAUUAGAAAGAUGCCAAUCUCCCUUAUCUCCCCUCCUCCCCCUGGGGCCACAGAAGGAGAACGAGGAGGGAUGAAGGAGAGGAAAUAAAUCCAGAGAAUGCCAGAUCCCAAAUUCCAGGAUGAAGCCAAAGCUGGGACUCAAACAGUCCAGGGAAGGGCUCGGGGAGGCUCCUGGGAGUUCAGCCUUUCUUUUCUUCUGCCGGAGACCUGGGUGAGGCUGUCCGGUUCGAGCCUCCUAGCUCCCCGUGGCGAUUUUAGGAGUGAUUCUUUCCUCCUAGUGCGAUAUAGGACCGAAAAGCAUCUACUGAGAGUCCGGUUGCUCGAGAAAAUGCUCGCCAUCCUCCGCGCGGCUGGCGAUUCCCAGGGUUAAGGCAUUGACUGGUCCUCUUCGACCUAGAGGAAGAUCUUGGAGAAGAACGCCCUGCCUUACUCCCCAGCGGGGCCUCUCGGGCACCUGUGCGUCCCCGCCGCGCUUCGGCCCGCGGCCUUUUGUUUCUCCCGCACUCUGCACUCACGCAGCUUCUGCGCCUGCGGCUGGCCCCUCCGUGGCAGCUGGGAAUCAGGCUGCCCAGCGGGCUGGCGUUCGGCGGUUUGCAAAGCUGCCCGCCUCCGGGAGCUCCUACAGCCUUCGGAGAAUUCGCUGCGCUCCCGGGCGAGCCGCCCGGCCAGGCCCCACUCCGGAGCUAGAGGGCUUGCCGCGGCCUGCUCAAGCCAGUUCGCCUCUGCCUGAAUUCCACGCAGACCCCCGUCUUCGGCCAAAGAACCCCUUCUGAACACGGAUAUUAUUCAGAAUAAAAACUUUAUUUAUUUUUUUUUGUUUAGUUUCUCAGAAUGUGAGCAGCAAGGAAUGUAGAACUCUCGAAACAAAUCUAGCAUUUUUCACGUUUACAGAUUGUUUUUUUUUUUUUUUUUCAGUUUGGCCGGAUGUUACAAACCUAAAUCAGUCUUUUCAAAAGCUGGAUCCUCUCUGGUAUUAUUGCAUCAUUACCGUUUUUAUAAAGGAAUUAUAUUUCCCUUUCAAAUAAAAAAUUUUUCUAUGUACGCCAAUACACUAUUGAACAAAAGGCCCAAGAAACCUUCUGAACAAUCAGGGUACAGAAUUUCUUUAAUAUAAAUACGAACGGAUGGGGAUAAAUAAUAUUUAAAACUUAGAUUAUUCAAUGCUUGCAAAAAAAAUAUAAAUAAAUCUGACUGUUCACCAGCAUACACACACGGAAAGACGUACACUUAGUCGUCCUUGCACAGGGAGCCCCUGUUUCAAAGCGCCUUUGAUUUUUUUCUCGCUCUUUACAAGAAGUGCAAUUUAAAAAAAAUCUAAAAGUUAAAAAAAAAAAGUAAUUGCUUCCCCUCGGGAGCCAUAAUGUACGAACAAAUUCACAUUGAAGAACUCGGCUAGAAAAUUUGUUCAUAUACCCUGUUUCUGAUCAAAGAGUAGAGAAAGUAAAGGGUGCAGGGCCAGCGGCCGAGCGAGGGGGUAGGAGGAGAUAAACAUCGCUACUGAUACUGACAGCCAUUCCAGCAACCAAGAUUGCUACGUCACAUAAACUAUAAAAACGCGUUACCAAAGAAAACAAAACGAGGGGGAGGGGAAGGUAGAAGGGGCGGAGAACAGAAAAGAGAGGACAGGAAGAAUCUUAAAACAAAACAAAACAAAACAGGGAAACGACGAAGAAAGGUGGGGGCGGGGGGGGGGGACUCUCCUGGCGCGCAGCCCCGAGCCCACCAUCACAGGUGGGUGAGCUUGGGGGCUUCCUGAAUUCUUCCCUGAGAAGGAUGGUGGGCGGUAAGGUCCGUGUAGGUGGGGUGAGGCUCCCCUGGCCCGGGCCCGUGAUGGUGGCCGCUGCCCAGUGGCCCAGCACCCCCGUAGUCCAUGGCUGCCGAGGCGGCGUGGGGGAGGUGAGUUAGGCCAAAGAGGGCAGGCCCAGAGUUGCUCAUGGGCUCCACAUAGCUGCCCCCCACGAAGACGGGGCUUCCCUGUAAGUGUGGGGUCCCAUAGCUGCCGUUGCCCUGCAGGCCAUGAGCGUGCGGGUCAUAGUCGGGUGUGCCCCCUGCCCCCGCCGCGGUGUAGCGCUUCUGUGGGGGCGGUGGGGGCGCGCAGCUUGGCAGGGGUGCGGGGUAGGAGGCGGGGGGCAGCCCAUAGGCACCCUGGGGAGGCUUGGAGAAAGGCGGGGGCGACUGGGGCUCGUAUGGGACGCUGUUGACCAGCGAAUGCAUAGAGUUCAGAUAGCCGCCCGCGCCGGGGGGCACCGGGCUACGACUUGGGGACUGGCCCCCUGAUGACGUCAGCAUGCCCUUGCCCUUCUGAUCCUUCUUGUACUUCAUGCGGCGAUUCUGGAACCAGAUCUUGAUCUGGCGCUCUGUGAGGUUCAGCAGGUUGGCCAUCUCUACCCGGCGCGGCCGGCACAGGUAGCGGUUGAAGUGGAAUUCCUUCUCCAGCUCCACCAGCUGCGCGCUCGUGUAGGCGGUGCGCGCCCGUUUGGACGACGCCUGCCCAGGCGGACUCUUGUCGCCAGCGCAGCUCUCCCCUGCGAGGACAGAGGAGAGAGGAAGAGUGGCGUCAGGGGCUGCCCGAGGCCCCGCCUAGCCCCUGAACCCGCCAGGCCCCUCCUCACUCCAGGGCCCAAGAUCCCUCGGUCUGUCAGGGCCCAGAAGGGGGGGAGGAGGAACUAGGUGCUGUCCUCUGUCCUGGAGGGGAAAUAGUGCCAGCAGCUGGGUAGCCAGCCCCUCAUUCAGUUAAGGUGCAAAUCACAGGCUUCCCUAAGGGCAAGAGAUAGGAAAGCAGAACCCCCAGUUUGCCUUCCUGAUCUGUAUUUCCUUCCUGGAGCUAUUCACUUUCUGAAUCAUGUAGUCAUUCAGGCCUAUCAGACUACAAGCUCCCUAUGGGCAGGUCUCCCAUCUUCAUUCCCUUCACAGUAACUGGGAUGUGGGGCACCUAUUAUACACUCAAUAAACCUUUCUCUCUUUCACUGUCUGAUGGAAGGAUUGCACAGUUGCCUCAACUGGCCACUUAUUUGGUCUACCCAGUGGAGACAGGUGGAGGGGAAGCCCCAAUCUGGAAGGCCUUCUGUGCCCAAAGGAAGAGAUCACAUUGAAAGUACCAAUUUCUGGUGGGGAGGCCCAGGCCCCUGGUGGGGUCCCUUUAAAGCGUUCUUCAUGUUAUCAAGCUGCCUCCCCAAUUUAAUCCACUAAUCUUGUACCCUCCUAUCCUCCCCUUCGCCCUACCCCCACCUUGGUUCUGCAGGGUCCCAGAUGCUCAGGCUCAGAGCAGAGUACUGGGAACUGGAGAAGGCAGGGGGAAAGGUAACCAAGAUGCUGGGAAGCCUAAGACCCAGGCCCUGUCCUGUAGUCUAGUUUCUGGUAGGCCCAAGUGGUUCCUAUUAGCAUGACAAGUCCAAAUCCGCACCCCCAGGAGAUCCCUGGCUGCCUUCAUUGUACUAAAUCUGAGUAGGGCCUUCCCAGAGGUAAGGCAGCCACUCCAUCUACUGGAGCAAAAAUUAAAAAUAGGCUCUGUUUAUAGGCAAAGCAUUGAUUCUGACUUGGAUGGUGACUAGGCCUGCUUUUAUUCUACCACAUUUCAGUGUGGGAUGGAUGUCACUGUUCCACUAGAAAGGAGUUAUGCUAAAAAGAGAGUGUGGAGCUCAGGUUUGCUAUGCCCAAAGGUCCUAACUCCUAGAGUGUAACAAGAAAGGGUUCCAAACUCACUAGGCCCCACUUGCUCUUGAGGAAGUCAAGAAAGACUCUCAUCAGGUCUGUCUGGGGGUUUCCUGGACACAGAGUCCUGUCACCCCCCUAGUUGAAGGAGAAGGAGCUGUUCUUGAAAAUGUUCCAGCGCUCCCAGACUGUGACUGGAGGUAGCUUGGGGGGCCGGGAGCCAGGCCAGGGGACCCCUCCUCUAGAAGGUACGGCUUUACCUGAGCUGGAGCCGCUGGUUUUCUGCUUUGUGUUUUGCCGAGACUCUUUCAUCCAGGGGAAGAUUUGUUUGGCCACGGUGGGUGAGUUGAGUAGGGGGCUCUUGGCUGCGCUGGCAGGCGUGGGGUUGCUGCUGGCAUUCUGAGGUGGGGAAACUGAAGAGGGGGGUGGGGGCGCGGCAGGAGCGGGUGCUGGGGGCUGUGGCGGGGGUUGAGGCUGCUGUGGAGCAGGGGGCGCGGCCUGGGGGGGCGGCGGGGCCAGGGGGGGCUCGCCGAGGCCUGGGGGUUGGCUGGGCGGGCCACUCAGGGUGCGCAGACACGCCUCGCUCAGCUCGUGCGCCUUGGGGUGGCCCCCGGCGCUGGCGGGCGACUGGAGUGAACAGGCAGGUCGGUGGUACUCGCCAUCAGUGCCCAGUGCGGAGGACGCCGGAUACGGCUGCUGAUUGGCAUUAUAAGCGAACCCGUUGGCUGCCUGGUAGGGGUAGCCACCGUAGAUCGCCGAACUGUCGUAGUAGGUCGCUUUUUGCAUCGCGUUGUCUCACAAUCUUGAUCGCACACUCUGACAGGGGCUUGACACCCUUGAGGGCGCACAUUGGCACGCCCCCGCGGUCACGUGAUACUCCGCCGCCAAUGGCUGCCCCGCGCAGACCUGGGGGGCGAGAAUCGCAGCGCGGUGAGGGCUCCGCGCAAAUCCAUCUUACUCUCAAUAGCUAAGUGACAUGAAAGCCAUAAAAGAAAAAGUGGUCAGCAAUAUUUAGCAGCACGACUUGGCCCCGGGCGCAGAGAGCCGCGCUAUAAAAAGCCGCUGGAAUUUACUGGCAGCUACAAAUAUUUGCUUAACUUGCGUCUGGAGUUAGGGGGUUUUCCGGGGAGAGAGGAGGAGAGUAAGUGAGGGCUGGAAGCCGGGGCUCCAGAACCGGAGUCCUAAAGAAGAAAGGUUGAUGGGCUAGAAAGGAACAGGGCUGGGAUUCUUCUUUUCCAGGAGAGAAGAAACUUGGGGUGUCCCUUCGUCUCUGCUCUUUGGCCUUGUCCAGCGAGCCCUGCGACUCCUUCCCUCUCAGGAUCAUGGGGAAGGGGGCAAGGAGGCAAAGGAGAGCUUAGGUUGCCAAUUUGUUCUCCAAUCCUCGCUUUAGGACUAAUAUUUGGCAAAAGAGCCCUGAUGCGGGGUGACUUCCCAUCGAGCCCCUUCUUGGAUCUUUCAGCACCCAAGACAGGUAUGCACAAAACAUUUUCAGGCAAUUGCCCUACUACCCCGCUGGAUUUCAGAAGCUGAGCUUGUUGGGCAGUUAAUCUACCCUUGGGCAGGGGAUAUGACCUACCUCCUCCAAAUGAGCCCCUUGUAGCCAAGAAGGGAAGAGAAAAAACUUUGGAGGGAACAUCCUGCGUGGGAAAGGACCAACAACAACACUUGCUCCAGCAAGUCAAACUCAAAUCCUGGACAGUUCUUUACGCCUUUCCUCUCCCUAUUUCUCAGGCUUGACCCAGCAAGCCACUCCCACCUCUUCUCCCCUGUUACAGAAGGUCCCCAGACCCUCCUGCCUUGGACUUUCUGAGGUGCUGUUAUUCAGGAUAACUAUCAAAUUCUACCUGUUAAAACAUGAUGGAUUAGAGAAAAAAACAACCCACCAGGAACCUGAAAAACCAGCGUUCAUCUCCAUGACCACGGCUUGAACUCUCCCUCCAACUUAACGAUAAUAGGUUCUGUCUUAGAAACUGCUAUGUAAUUUGAUGUAUGGGGGUCAUUUGGCUCCGGACGAGGGAUGGAAGCACAAGCCAUAAAAUCCUGCCAGAGUGCCCUGAUCUUUGUGUGCUCUUGUUGUUGAUGUUUGUUACUUGGCCUAUUUACCUGCUUCAGAAACACCAAGUAAAGGUCAAGACUGGAAAUCUUAAAAGCAAAUGAAAGCCUUCUCAACCCCUUAUUUAAAAAAAUAUUAUUUAGAAAGCAGUUUGCAGAAGUGAAAUCUGUUUUAUUUUUGUUUUCAACCUGUGCAUGGUCAAUCUCUCCUUCUCAGCUGAGAAAAGUUCUACAUGAGUUAAUAUGCAUACACACACACACACACACACACACACACAUUCAGAAUGUUAGUGUGACCAUUUAAGAAAAAAUACAAUGACAAAUUUAAGAAGAAAAUGGUUUAGUUCAUGCUCCAACUAUGUAUAUUUGAGUCCUGGAGUCAUUCAAGUUCUCUAGGAAUAGCAGACACUUUGUUAACUAGAAAAAGCCAUCCACAAGCAGAUGACUACAAUUUUGUUUUUAAUAAUGGGCUCCUUUGGAUUUCAUUAUUAAACCAACAAUCUGACCAACAUAUGGAAAACAAGCACAAUUAAUUUUCCAGAACCUCAAUUAAAAAUUACAGCUUCCCUUAUUCGAAGUUAGUGUGCGUGAUCCUGAGCCCUGGAGUAUUGUUUCUAUUUUGGAAGCUACAGAUACUAUGAUCAAAAAUUUAAAAAGGAUAAAAUAAAUUUUAAAACUGAAUAGUAAUUGAAUGUCUCAGUUUCCUGUUCUUUCAUUGAAAAUAGUUCUAUUACAUUUGGCAGUGUUACUGUCUGCCAUUAUAAAUUUUUAAGAUACCAGGCUUGUGUAAAAUAAAAUGUCAGGUUAAGAAAAUUACUCCAGACACCUGAACAGCAAGAUAUUAGAUAAAACAAAAUAAAGGUGAUUUUGAAUGUGCAACAUUUCAAGUGACUUUUCAAUCCAUUAUCACAAGCUACACUGGCCUGCUGCUUACUUAAUUCUUUUCAUCAAGUUGAUCAUUGUCUUGUAAAUAACAAAAAUACCAUUAAAAACCAAAGAGCACACAACAACCCCCAUAAACUAAAAAUAUGAAUUCACCUUGGAGAUCCCUCCAGAGUCCUUCCUAUUGUUUGAGGUCAGCAGACAACCACCUUGGGACCCACACAGUUCUCCCCUCCCACCCCACCCCAGCCCCCAAAGUUUGCAAUCCAGUAAAGAAGUUGGAGAUCUGCCAGUCAGGAAACUUGCUUUGCACCCCCUCAAGCAAGGGCUGGGGGUGGGAGGAGAUUCCUCCUAAAAGAUCUGUUUCUGGACAAUAACCCCCAGGUGCAAGAGCUGAAAGAGAGUUGAGGAGGCUAAAUUGAGUGCAGAAAGCAAGCCCUAUUGUCUUUCUGGAAGAUCUGCCCAAAUUCAACCUCGUUCCUUCAGACACCGCUCCCUCUUUCCACUCCCGCCCCUUCCUCAGCCUGCCCUCACCCCGAGUUUAAGCGGGAAUAUCGGGUAAGAGCCCCCUCGUCCCCUUGCCUACCCCUCCCUCCCCAACCCAGAAAAGUUGGGGCUGGGCUAGGGGAGAGGGAAGAGGUGGGGGCGNNNNNNNNNNNNNNNNNNNNNNNNNNNNNNNNNNNNNNNNNNNNNNNNNNNNNNNNNNNNNNNNNNNNNNNNNNNNNNNNNNNNNNNNNNNNNNNNNNNNNNNNNNNNNNNNNNNNNNNNNNNNNNNNNNNNNNNNNNNNNNNNNNNNNNNNNNNNNNNNNNNNNNNNNNNNNNNNNNNNNNNNNNNNNNNNNNNNNNNNNNNNNNNNNNNNNNNNNNNNNNNNNNNNNNNNNNNNNNNNNNNNNNNNNNNNNNNNNNNNNNNNNNNNNNNNNNNNNNNNNNNNNNNNNNNNNNNNNNNNNNNNNNNNNNNNNNNNNNNNNNNNNNNNNNNNNNNNNNNNNNNNNNNNNNNNNNNNNNNNNNNNNNNNNNNNNNNNNNNNNNNNNNNNNNNNNNNNNNNNNNNNNNNNNNNNNNNNNNNNNNNNNNNNNNNNNNNNNNNNNNNNNNNNNNNNNNNNNNNNNNNNNNNNNNNNNNNNNNNNNNNNNNNNNNNNNNNNNNNNNNNNNNNNNNNNNNNNNNCACCCCACCCACCCACCCCUCCCCCACACCCCCGCCCCCUGCCCUUCCCGAGGGCAGCAGCCGUGGCCCGGAGAUAAGCGCUAGCGCGGCGCAGGGCUCUGCCUGGGCUAGUGGCACCGACUUGGGUAUGUUUCUUAUGAAUAUUACACGCGGAGCAGCGUCUGGCUGGGGGGUGCGGUGGGGGGUACUGGGGGCGGGCGGGAGGGGAGGCCGAGGCGGCUGGGGAAGCGCGGGGCGGCGUGGGGGAUGGGGCUGAGGCGAGGGGAGGGACAGGAGCGAGAGGGGGAGCUCCGCGGCGGCGGGAGGAGGGCAGCCUCCCCCCAACCCCCAACGCCCUCCCUCUCCUCGCUUCUAGGCGUCACUAAAGUCCAGGAAAAUUAUGCUAAUGAGGACAAACGGCUCUCACAAAGGGGCUCUCUUGCCGGGCUCUAUUUCUUGGGAAUCCAUUUGAGAAACCACGUAACCCUCUGCCCUGAACACUUCCAGUUGGGGUGCAAGGGGAAAGAGAACCAUAAGGAGAGUCCCCCAGACUUUGAGCACUUUACCAAAUCUUCCACCCCCAACCUGAGAACCUCAAAGGCAAUCCUUGGGGGACAGGGAUAGGGCCUCCCUUCUCAAGAGACCUCCCCAAGAGCCAACUGGGCUGUCUUUCAUUAUAUUUUUAGGCAGAAACUCUUAAAAUCCUGGCAGCCAAGAGGGAAGUAACCUGGGGGAAAUGGACACAAGUCCAGGCAGUGAAGUGGGAAGCGCUGGGCUCAGGUACGUACUAGGGUGCCUAGAAACCUGGGUCUCCAGCUUUUCUAUGCCUACUUCAUAGUACAGACGGGCAGCUCACUCACAGGAAAAGACAGAUAAAACUCUGACCCCAACACAAACCGACAUCUGUAAUGUUUUCUUCUCUAAUUAGUGGUAUGCAGGGACACUGAGCAAAGGAAAGGCCUGGGUGUGCCCCGCAAUACUGCCACAACUUUAAGGAGGAUGGUCUUUCUCUCUUCUAAUGCCUCCCUCCACUCUCCAGCGAACUCUGCAAGGGUAUGUGUGUGGCAAAAAGAGAAAUGGAGCUUUCAUGCAAUUCCAAGGUGUCAACGGCCAGUCCUUCUCAAAGGAAGGUGUUAAAAAUAUAAGUAGUAUGUUUAAACUGUCAGGGAGCCAAAGUGUCACCUUAAAGCAAAAACAAAGCCAAGGGAAAAGGGAGAAAUCAAAAAGCACUCCUGGCCAGGGUGGCCUCAUGCAUACCAAUGGUUUUUGUCAUUUAUGGCUGGGCAAGAUUUAUGACUCGGCGCCCCAAAGCUGUAAACAGAGCACAAAACAGCAAACACUUGCUCCUUAUGGCAUAUUGCGGCAGCGCAACUUAAAAGGGGGAGCCGGGCGGCGUAGGAGGUGAGAGCCGCCGCAAAAAUCGCUCGGCUGCAUUUUCUCUUCAAACUGGCCUGGUCGGAUGUGGCAUUUGAAGAAAGAAGGCGUGGGUCAAUAAUCAACCCGCACUUUCUCCUCCAAACUGCUGACACGACUCUCACCGCCUUCUCAGCUAAGCCAGCUGCAGGGAAGGCCAGCUUUCCGUGAGAACCUGCCAGGGGAGGGGACCGCCUGGGCCAAGAGGGCCGAGGGUUCCGAGGUGAGGGCUGGGGCAUCUGGGGCGCAUACCUUUUCACCCGCACCAAGACUGUGCUGGGCAAAAUGCUGGGACUGGACUUGAAGAGCCAUGGGAGUUGAGGGAGAGCUGGGGUGGGAGCUUGGGACAGGGUCUCUGCUGGAUGGUCCCAGACUAGAUGGCUUCCGGGCAGCUGGCUGCAGUGGGCACAAAUCUGGCUCUGACCUCAAGACUGGUCUCACACCCUGGCAUGCAGACCUCCGGGUUUGGGCCUCUCUGCUGAAAUCCACAGGACUGGCUUUUAGAGCAAGGCAGGUGAUGUGAUUAAAGGUAAUAAUUUAUGAUUGCUGAAGGUUCUGUGUUACUGUUUUUUAAGAGAAAAAUACCGCCUGCCGAUUUUCACUGCCAGAAAUUGCCCACUGCUGCGGCUGCGGUGUCUUUUCUAGGCAAAUCCCGCAGCCAUUCACCCUGUUCAGCCAAAACCACUGAGGUUAUCUUUGUGGAAAGGACCCCUUUGCUCCCCCAAACCCCCCUCCUCAGUCCCUGUGCUCCCUUAUGUCUUGCCCACGGGGACUAGAAGAAAACAUUUUCCCAGUGCUAGAAAAAUAUCUGAAAUAGCGAAGGUGUGCUUGUGCCUCUCUACCCUUUGCAGGGGCCUCCUUGAGAACAGGUCUGCGGGUUGGGGGGGGGGGCGCUGGGGUCCCUGCAAGGCUGUCUAUAAGCCAGGGAGGAAGGUAAGGCACAAGAGGCACUGAAAUCUGGGAAUGGAGAGGGAAAUUAAUGAGGAAAUACACUUGCCUGUGAGGUUGAGGCUGGCAUUUUGAGGGUAAAAGGGGACUAGCCUGUUUUUUAUAGCUGUAGUUUAGCUAUUAUGGAGUGGCUUUAGCUCCUUGCGUGAAGGAAAAACCAACUGGUGCUCUAUAAACUGGACUACUGGUUUCUUUUCACUGUGCACACUUUUAUACAGAACCAGUUUGAGAGUCCAUCCCUAGAUAUUUAUUCCGCUGGCUGGCACUGAAGUGACAAUAAAAAGAUGCCUUUAACAAACCUCUAUUCCCUCUCUCAUUCUUUCUAGCGAAACUAUAUUAUUUAUGAGUCUUUAACUGGGUCAAAAAUGCGCCAGAACUGGGUCAUAAAUCAUAUGAAAUGCUGACAAGUAAUUGAACAGCAAUUAAAGCUUACAUUUUAUUUCCAAGGGGUGUUUUAGGGCACUUGAAACCGCCUCAGUUAAACACGGUUAGCGCCCGAGGACGGCAGCGGGGGAGGGUAGAAGCAGCCUUUCCCUUCUGGGGAUGUAAAUCCCUCUCUAGUAGGGGAAACCUGAUUUGAUUUUUUUUUUUCAAGUACAGAAAGAAAUAAGAUUUUUUUUUGUUUAAGUCACGGAGAAAAUCUGAUUCCCGACUCCUUGUAGACACCCCUUUCCUCCACCCCAAGAUCUCCAAGAGCAGAGAAAAGUGAAGUUUCCUUCACCGUUUCAGGGAGUUUUCAUCCUUCCCAGGAGUGCUGGGUCUCCAAAGUGCAAUUAGCACAGGCUUUCCCAGUAAUUUGCAAGCAUGGUUUAUCUCUCAUCUGCUUCUAUCCUGGCUACAGCACUGUUUCUGGGGUCUGAAGCCGGAGAAAUGUCUGCCUCUGCUUCCUGCGGACUCUGCCUCGAAUUCUCUCUAGCCCAGGGUGCACCAGCCAGUCCUUAAAACUCUGCAAGCCAGCUGGGUGCAUUACAAUGGGGCAUACAGGCCAUGCACAUUAUGAAGCCCAAACCCAGUUCUGGCUCCCGAAAUUUAGACUAACAGAGCUUCUGGGCGUCGGGCACGCUUACCCCUAUCCUAAGCCUCUCCUAGAUCUGAACUGUCUUCACCCCUACCCGGGUAGAGUCCUGGGGAAACAAUGGCGCGUCCUCCGUCCUCCGGGUCUUGCACCUUCGGUCCCGCGCGUGGGAAAGCGCGUCCUCCAACCAACCCAGCACUGAACAAAGUGGCCUGAAGCAUCAUCAAUAAAAUGGCAGCGCGUCUGCACACUCAUUGAUUUCCCUCUCCCAGCUGCUCUGGCUGCCUAGGUCAGCCCUACCUCUCCAUCCCUGGCCGCCAGCAAACGCGGCCAAGCCUGGAGAGAUUCCCCUUCCCAUCCACCCAGCCCCCACCCCCUCCAGGCCGUCUCGCCGAGCAAGCGCCGCGCGGGCCACCUCGGCCAGAGCCGCUGCUUCGGGACCCUCCCUCCGCCUGCGGCUCAGCUCCUGGGACUCAAGCCCCGCUGCAGUGGACAAAGCCGCCAGAGCGCUGGAGGCCACCGGGCUCACCUCGCAGCCCCCAAGCGCCCUUUCCUUUACAUCCCCCUACACUUUCCAGAGAAUUAAACUCAGUCUGAGGUGCUACUGGAGAUCUUUCAGAUGGUUUCGGUUCUAUGAGAGAAACAAAGGAAGAGAGGGGCUGAGGGUCCUGUCGGUGAACCAGGGUCUCCUCGCCUGACCUUUGUCUCUCACAGCCGUAACUCACUCUAAAUAUGAACAAUCGGCGGAAAUACCUUAAAAUAAAUUCCAUCCUCCUGGUGUGGCCUCGAGUCCCAUCGGCUAGCUCGCCCAGAACCGCUCCAUGAGCGCUGAAAACUGCAACCCGCUAGGAGAGCGCUCUCCGGAGAAGGGGAAGGAGAAGGAGGAGGUGGGUGCGUGGGGGUGGGGGGAAAAAGCUCUCGCUCUGUAGAGAAUCUAGAAAACGUAAUCACAGGCGAAGCCCGCCCGGGUCUCCGCUCCAAAUGCCACAAUAAUGCGCUGUAUUAUGUGCUCACGUGGUCAUACGUCAACUUAAAUCCUUUUAUUUGAAAUAGGAAAUCACUGAAGGGACUAGGUUUCCAAGCAGAACAUUCAGCUUUGGGGGAGGGGAAGUGGGGAACCUUGCCCAGCAGUGGGGAAGAGUUUCAUCUAGGGCAGUAGGACGCUGGGGGCACCCCCCCCCCAACAUGUGCCACACUGGGCCACUUAUCUCCACUUAUAUUUCUGUACAAAUGAUCCAAACAGCAAUGCUGUCCCCAUUCUCAGAGUCUAUGUAACUUUCUGUACAGUCUUCCACACGCAGACAAGCUGAAGCCUGCACACCCAAGCACGCCAGUCUCCUCUGGCCUGCUAGCCAGUACGUCAAAAGGCAAGGCCCGGGCCCUGUUUCCAGAAGAAAACCCAGUAAUGACUGGCUUAGUCAGUGGACUCCCUCAUGGCCUGCCAUUGUAUGGAGUUUGCUACCACCCACGCCAAAAGGCCCCAAAUUACCUGACAAAAGGCUAAGUUGAUUUUGUUCAAUGGGAGCCCUCUAGGGAAGAGGUGCUUGCCUCUAGAGUGGUGGGUCAGGGUUUUGCAAAAUCUGGAGGGACUCAGUGCCCUGGCUAAACCUACACUUGCGUACUUCCUCAGUGCACAGCUGAGCGAUACAUGAAAUUAUAGGCUUCUAACAAUGGAAAAUGUAAGGGGAAAUGAUCUAAUUGACUCUGUAAGAGAAAAACUAUAUAUACAACCAAUCUUUGCUGGCAUCCCUUGAAUUAACCUACAAGGUAACCUGGGACCCUUUUGCAGAUGGGUCUGUCCACCCUCCCCUAAGACAAGUCUGUCCACCAGCAGAAAAUGAACAGGACCAACUCUGCUCUGGAGCAACUGAGCUGAACCAACCCCCCCCCCCCCGGCCCUGCCCUGCUUCUACUCCUGACUUCUGCUUGGUGACACUGUCUACUGAUUGUAACACUUCACCCUCUCAGGACCUGCCUUAAAAGUUUCUCUUUUCAGGUCUUAGUUUCUGAACUUCUUAGUUUCUGAAGUGGUGGGCUCCUGGUGCCUUAUUCUUUUCUUUCUUUAGAGUGGAUCUUCAGCUGGCUAGGCCUCUCUAAGAGUGAGGACUCACUUAUAGCAGCUACAGGAUUCCUCCUCCUCCUCUUCUGCCCUGCAGGGGCCUAGUGAGAAUGUAAGGCCCUCAGUAAGGGGGCCUGGUCACGGGGGUGUCCAAAUCAGAAGGGCAAUAAAAGAGGAGGAGACCUAAUCCUUUGGAAGUGAGCCCUGGCCUACGCUGGUGGCAGUAUUCCAACAAAGUUCUGUCUGUGGUAGAGCUGGGAGAGAACCUCUCUGUGAACUGACCCAACUCUGACCUAAGCCACAAGCUGGAAAGUGAGAACCCAAAGUGCAAACCUACUUCUCUCAGGUAUGGGGUGUGGGGGAUAGAACCAAAGGCCGGUUUCCCAAAAAGCACUCUGCCGUCCCCCAAGGACUCACACAACUAACACAUUGUCCUCUGCUCCCCUUAUGCAGUCCCCCCACCCUGCCUGUGCCAAAUAUUUCACACCGAACUCUCCAGGUAGCCUAGAAAGGACCUGGAAGUAUUGCCAAAUUGCUGGCAAACUCCCAUCUCCCCCAACCAAAGUUUCUGCAGAGACUUCAACUCAAAGAUGAGAAGGGGCCCCCUUCAGAACUCUCAGAACAGUCUGGAGCAAAUCGUAACUCCGAGGCCAUAAAUCAAUGAGAGAAGUAUUUGGUACUGCUUCAGAGAAAUGCCUUAACGCCAGGAAGGCCCAGCGGCAUCUCGGCUCUAGCCAGGAGCCUCCAUUGCCGCUAUUAACAGCCCAGUUAAUGCUCCAACUGCUGUUUAACAAUUAACAUUAACGACUUGGGUUGGAAUGGGGUGAUUUGGUGGGAUGUGGAGGAAAAAAUCUGAGGAAGUCAAAAGAAAUUUAACUUUUGAGGUGAAAAUGGCUUUCCUAAGAGAGACCUUGGUCUGGGCAGGCCACCAGGGAACCAGCAGCUGAGAGUCCUCCCUCACCACUCUGAAAUCCACUCUCCUUGAACAAGGCUAUGGACCUUUUAAAGUUCAUUUCCAGAGAACGAGAAUAGAGAUACUCAAGUAUCGAAGCCCAGCCGGGAAAAUCUAGCUACCGGUCCCCCCUUCCACUCCAGCCCCCAACCUGGCCAGGGCUGGGGACACAUGCCCUGAAUCCAUUUCACCAGAGCCAAAAGUUGUCUUGGAAGGAGCAGGUGAGCAUGGAUACAGGGCUUUAGUCAAUAUUUGCAAGGCUGUUGGCAGAUUAGAUAUAUCUGUAUCCAAACACUGCAAUCUGAUUUCUCUGUCAAAAAUACACUUAACAUUUUUCUCCCUUUAGUUAGCUCUAGUGGUUUUUCUUAGUGGCUGGUAAGGCCUGCUUAGCCCACUUUUGUCUGUGUGUGUGUGCGUGUGUGUAUGUGUAUGUGUGUGUGUGUGUGUGUGUGUGUGUGUGUGUGUGUAUGUAGGUUAUAUAUCAUUAUUUAACAUGAGAUAUUUCCUGUGGGUGCAACUGCAGUACAAAUGGGCUCCAAGUUCUCUGGACACAUAUGGAUGUGUAUAUCAUUUUAUACACAUGGUCUCCAACUCCUGUGACUAUGUACACAUGCAGUGAUUCUGUUGUGUGCAGAGAUUCAAAUCAUAUGUACACAGUGAGUUGCAAAUUCCUAAAAUACUCAACCUAUAUUUGAUAAUAAAUAGACAUACAGGAGCUGAGAAAGUAACCCAGGUUUACUAUCCCCCUGUUUACCUUCUAUCUGAUAAGAUAAUAAUUGUAUCCAGAACAACAUAUCAGCCUUACAGCAUCACUGAAUAGCAUGUUGCACUUAAUUAACAACCUGAUAUCUAUUUGGGGAGCAAAUUUUAGGGAAGACUGAGGCCCGCGGAAUAGAAAACAAAAACUCAGAAAACUUUUUAAAAUAAAUAACUCCUGAAAGAACAAAGCAAACCCAUUCCUUCAUACCAAGCUUCUGAAAGCUAUUCCAACAGCCCCUCCCCCAAACAGGCACAAAAUUUAUGGAUCUUUUACAAGGUAAUAAACCACAGUAAUUACCUCCCUGCAUCCCAAACUAAGAGAACAAAUUAAGCCAGAACUUGGAAAGAAUUUUAAAGAGUCUUCCCUUGUUUCCAGUAGGAAAAGAAAACGCAGAGACCUGGGAAACGCGUGCUUUUCCCGUAGGAAAAAGAGCAGUUCCGCCCACCUAAAGGAACGGAGAAGACCCGCUGCCUGCGACGGUCUACACAUUCGAAAGGCAGCAACCUCCCUCAUGCCGCGGAAAGGCAAAAGGAUAGGAGAAACUGCAAGGCGGCGAGACAAGUUUCCUCAACGCAGAUCUGUGACUGACGACCAUUCCCGAACUCACAGUCUCCGCGGGCGCCGCAAACAGUCGAC